GACGAACGCUGGCGGCGUGCUUAACACAUGCAAGUCGAACGGAAAGGCCCUGCUUUUGUGGGGUGCUCGAGUGGCGAACGGGUGAGUAACACGUGAGUAACCUGCCCUUGACUUUGGGAUAACUUCAGGAAACUGGGGCUAAUACCGGAUAGGAGCUCCUGCUGCAUGGUGGGGGUUGGAAAUUUUCGGCGGUUGGGGAUGGACUCGCGGCUUAUCAGCUUGUUGGUGGGGUAGUUGCUUACCAAGGCUUUGACGGGUAGCCGGCCUGAGAGGGUGACCGGCCACAUUGGGACUGAGAUACGGCCCAGACUCCUACGGGAGGCAGCAGUGGGGAAUAUUGCACAAUGGGCGGAAGCCUGAUGCAGCAACGCCGCGUGCGGGAUGACGGCCUUCGGGUUGUAAACCGCUUUCGCCUGUGACGAAGCGUGAGUGACGGUAAUGGGUAAAGAAGCACCGGCUAACUACGUG
RNAcentral lists this ribosomal RNA (468 nucleotides) under uncultured bacterium. RNAcentral's name for it is "partial 16S ribosomal RNA". It matches the Rfam family "Bacterial small subunit ribosomal RNA", at positions 28 to 507 of the family's 1533-position model. The record is from RNAcentral.